GAUGAACGCUGGCGGCGUGCCUAAUACAUGCAAGUCGAGCGAACCACUUCGGUGGUGAGCGGCGAACGGGUGAGUAACACGUAGGUGAUCUGCCCAUCAGACGGGGACAACGAUUGGAAGCGAUCGCUAAUACCGGAUAGGACGAAAGUUUAAAGGUGCUUCUGACACCGCUGAUGGAUGAGCCUGCGGCGCAUUAGCUAGUUGGUAGGGUAAAGGCCUACCAAGGCGACGAUGCGUAGCCGACCUGAGAGGGUGAAAGGCCACACUGGGACUGAGACACGGCCCAGACUCCUACGGGAGGCAGCAGUAGGGAAUCUUCGGCAAUGGGCGGAAGCCUGACCGAGCAACGCCGCGUGAAUGAUGAAGGCCUUCGGGUUGUAAAAUUCUGUUAUAAGGGAAGAACGACUUUAGUAGGAAAUGGCUAGAGUGUGACGGUACCUUAUGAGAAAGCCACGGCUAACUACGUGCCAGCCGCCGCCGUAA
Molecule: ribosomal RNA, 483 nt
Filed under: uncultured bacterium
Lineage: Bacteria
Description: partial 16S ribosomal RNA
Rfam family: Bacterial small subunit ribosomal RNA
Source: RNAcentral